Molecule: ribosomal RNA, 497 nt
Filed under: uncultured bacterium
Lineage: Bacteria
Description: partial 16S ribosomal RNA
Rfam family: Bacterial small subunit ribosomal RNA
Source: RNAcentral
GAUGAACGCUGGCGGCGUGCCUAAUACAUGCAAGUCGAGCGAACAGACGAGGAGCUUGCUCCUCUGACGUUAGCGGCGGACGGGUGAGUAACACGUGGAUAACCUACCUAUAAGACUGGGAUAACUUCGGGAAACCGGAGCUAAUACCGGAUAAUAUAUUGAACCGCAUGGUUCAAUAGUGAAAGACGGUUUUGCUGUGACUUAUAGAUGGAUCCGCGCCGCAUUAGCUAGUUGGUAAGGUAACGGCUUACCAAGGCGACGAUGCGUAGCCGACCUGAGAGGGUGAUCGGCCACACUGGAACUGAGACACGGUCCAGACUCCUACGGGAGGCAGCAGUAGGGAAUCUUCCGCAAUGGGCGAAAGCCUGACGGAGCAACGCCGCGUGAGUGAUGAAGGUCUUCGGAUCGUAAAACUCUGUUAUUAGGGAAGAACAAAUGUGUAAGUAACUAUGCACGUCUUGACGGUACCUAAUCAGAAAGCCACGGCUAACUACGUG